RNAcentral lists this small RNA (109 nucleotides) under Ancylostoma ceylanicum. RNAcentral's name for it is "Nematode sRNA ceN72-3_ceN74-2". It matches the Rfam family "Nematode sRNA ceN72-3_ceN74-2". The record is from Rfam by way of RNAcentral. Lineage: Eukaryota; Metazoa; Nematoda; Chromadorea; Rhabditida; Ancylostomatidae.
UGCUGUGGUCCGGAGUCAGUGGGUUACCUGUUACUAGCAACUCUGAAACGAAGCACAGCAUUCAUUGUUCAAAGGCACCCCCUACCCACUGGCACUACUUGACCACACU